RNAcentral lists this ribosomal RNA (515 nucleotides) under uncultured bacterium. Its description in RNAcentral is "partial 16S ribosomal RNA". It matches the Rfam family "Bacterial small subunit ribosomal RNA", at positions 28 to 523 of the family's 1533-position model. The record is from RNAcentral.
GAUGAACGCUGGCGGCGUGCCUAAUACAUGCAAGUCGAGCGAAUGGAUUAAGAGCUUGCUCUUAUGAAGUUAGCGGCGGACGGGUGAGUAACACGUGGGUAACCUGCCCAUAAGACUGGGAUAACUACGGGAAACCGGGGCUACUACCGGAUAAUAUUUUUAACUGCAUGGUUCAAAAUUGACAGGCUGCUUCGGCUGUCACUUAUGGAUGGACCCGCGUAGCAUUAGCUAGUUGGGGAGGUAACGGCUCACCAAGGCAACGAUGCGUAGCCGAGCUGAGAGGGUGAUCGGCAACACUGGGACUGAGACACGGCCCAGACUCCUACGGGAGGCAGCAGUAGGGAAACUUCCGCAAUGGACGAAAGUCUGACGGAGCAACGCCGCGUGAGUGAUGAAGGCUUUCGGGUCGUAAAACUCUGUUGUUAGGGAAGAACAAGUGCUAGUUGAAUAAGCUGGCACCUUGACGGUACCUAACCAGAAAGCCACGGCUAACUACGUGCCAGCCGCCGCGGUAA